UACCACCUCGUUCUUCAUUAUUCAUUCAUGUUUCAUUUUUCAGAGAACAAACCAAAACCUAGCUUUUUCUCUCACAAGAAAUUUUUUCCCACCAUGAUUCGAUCUCAAUCUUUGCAUAAUUUACUUCGAUCUGUAACUAAUUUCUUCGAUCUAUAAGUAUUUUCUUUCUUUAAUAGUAGAAAAAAGAUGGAAACCCAUUUUGUUUCCUCAUCAGUAUAGAAGAGUAAGACAGAAAUCAACAGUGAAGACGUUUUGAAUCCCCUUUUAUUUCAUCAUCAAUAGUAUUAUCGGUGGAUUUCUCUGUGCCAAGCAUAUGGGUAAUGAUAUGUGGGAUGUGGCUAUGGAUAGAAGGACACGAAGCUGGUCGAGAAAUUGGUUAUGUUGAGCAGUAUUAGGUUGAACAUGUUAGUGCUCGAAGGAACCUGCUUGCAGAAAUUACUAGCCCCUGCAUUGUCAAGCUCUACUUUUCAUUUCAAGAUUCGAAGUACUUGUAUCUGAUCAUGGAAUAUUUUCCUUGUGGUGACGUGAUGUACCUGCUCAUAAGAGAAGACGCCUUAUCUUCAAUAUUCAUAGGUAGUUUAUAUUUGAAGCAAGUAGAGAGACAAACACGUCGAUCUGUGUUUGUGUGGCGGCUUCAACGAAGAAAGCUAAAUUAGCAGCUAAGACAGCUUGUCAAACAGAGAAAAGAUGGGUAUAUAAAUGCUUCGCUCUGUAGUCUAUAAAGAUGACACAACUAAUAUCCCGGACAAAAUGCCAAUCCGCAACCUGAUCCCACAGCCGUGGAGGACAUAUCAAUUUGUUCCGUAUUUUCGAUGGCGUAGGCAUCGAGCUGCUGCUAAGUGCAGGUGGAAGUGGGAGUCCUGGUUCAACCGAUGUAUAGGUGGAUUCAAGGUUUGAGCAUAGAACUGGCAAGGUACGCAGCUAUGGACCUCCAUACGAAUGACAACCAACGAGUUUUAUUGGUAUAUAAGUAAUGAUGUGCAGUAUCUUUAUUCCAAAAUGUCCAAGGAGCGAAAUCAUUUUUACAUUGGUUAAUGUUUGGUUAUCUUUUUCAGCUUCCCAGGGAAGGCUGCUGGUGUUAAAAUUGCUAGUGGAGCAGCGGCAGCUCCAGCAGUAGAAGCUGCAAAGUGAAUGGGACCAACCUGCUGUGUCUGUUCAUGUUAAGGUAUCUUGUUCAUUGGGGUUCCUUGACAUGUUCAAGUAUGUCAUUUCAACCAAGAUGGAAGUUCUGAAUUCGAGUCAAGGAGGACCUAAUUACUCAGCUCUUCCUUUUGUUAAGAUUAAUAUCUCAAGAAUAUGGAGCGUAUAAUCUUGUUGAGCUUAUUCACUUCAAACUGUUUUGUAAAGAUGGACAUAGGAGAAUGACCUGGGCUGCUUCUGAUUUAUGUUUUCACUGAAUUGUAAAUUGUGUAUCGAAAAGAACAGAUUGCAAUUGUGUUUCAGGUUUAAAUUUAAUUGUGUCCCAGGCCUGUAAACUGAGAUCCAUGGUGACCUGUAUCGCAGGCCUGUAAACUGAGAUCCCAGGUCCAUGAGAAUGACCUGAGCUGCCUAUUUUGUUAAUUGUAAUUAAAUUUUUAUCACGGUUUUAACUGUAACAACAAUAGUGAGUAAAAGCAACACGUGCCGUCAUCUGAGAGUUGUUGCAAAUAAGAGUAACAAUUUAACUGUUA
Papaver somniferum (opium poppy) is the source of this 1670-nucleotide long non-coding RNA. RefSeq lists it as uncharacterized. NCBI's taxonomy places the organism in Eukaryota, Viridiplantae, Streptophyta, Magnoliopsida, Ranunculales, Papaveraceae. The transcript has 13 exons. The record is from RefSeq and is a predicted model, not a curated record.